RNAcentral lists this long non-coding RNA (3207 nucleotides) under Eutrema salsugineum. RNAcentral describes it as "long non-coding RNA (ESAL_LNC001250)". The record is from RNAcentral. Lineage: Eukaryota; Viridiplantae; Streptophyta; Magnoliopsida; Brassicales; Brassicaceae.
UCCACCUCUACUAUCUUCUCACCAUCCAUUUCAAGUUGUAGGCUUUGAAAUCACUUGAUUUAUAAGAUUGUGAGAUUAAAUUUUAUAUCAACAAAUGCCACAUCACCUUUUGACAGACCUAUAUUAGUGCUCCAACACCAUCUAGCUACUUUACACAUAUUGAUCAUACAACAGGAUUAUCAAACAAGUAUGAUUGUGCUUCUACUAAUGCUUUCCUAGAUUCAGAUUUGAUAAUAAGAUGUCAUAAGUUAUAAGUAAGAAAUGGAUAUUCUACCCAUUUCUGGUUUGAUCAAUGGUCUCCAUCAGGCAAACUGAUGGACAUCAUAGGAGCAUAGGGAGUUAUUGACAAGGGGAUUCCAGCACACACAACUUUGGGGCAUGUUCUCGAUAUUCUGAUAAAAACACUUUUGCAAGUCAAUAAGAUCAAUUAAUCUCUUGGUGAUAUUUUAGCAUAAGAGGAACAAUCCAAAUGGGAUAAGGUUCAAUCAGUAAGAAUUUGUAUAAUACUUCUUAAUCCUAGCAAGCAAGACGUUUUGGUUUUUCAACUAAUGUCUAAGUGAUUUAAAUUAAAUACAAAUAAAUAAGGAAACUAAACAAAGCAAUUAACUAAGCAAGAUUAACAAUAAUAAAAAGAUGAAUCAUUGGGUGAGAUCAUUCACUUUGCUAAACUCUAGAUAUGAUCUAUGAUGCUAAAACAAUCAAUUACUUGCAUAAUCUAGAUCAUUAAUUUAGAGUAAUUCACACUCAUGAAACUAAUAUUUUUGCUAAUUACUUAAUCAAGAACAAACGAUCAUUUGUGAAAAAGCAAUUAUCAAAAAUUAAUAACAGAUCAAAUGACUAAAUAAACACCUUAUACAAUCAUUCUCAUGAGUUAAGCAUGCAAAUCCUUUAUCUAAAUUCAUUGGAGAAAUUCAUCAAACACCUUAUGGGUUGUGAAAUUUCCUAAAAGACUAAGAUUUAUCUAUCUCAAGCAAAUCUGACAUAAAGUCACUUAGAUAAAUAAGAAAACAAGAAUCUAAAACCUAGAAAACAUAGAUCAACCCUGAAAUCACCUUAAUCUAUCUCACACAUGGAUUCAAAAGAUAAACUACUCACUAAUCAUGUUUAACUAAACAAAUCUGAUGAAAGAUAUGUUAAGUAUCAUGAUUAUUAAUGAUUAAGAAAAGAUAAAAAGAAGAUAGAUUAGAGUAAAUUAAAUAAGAUUCAAACUUGCACUGAACUCAAUAAAAGAUCUGUUUACAAAUUUUAGAUACCAAAAAAAAAAAAAAUUUACAAAGGGAAGAGAUGUGUGCUCUAUAACUAGGCCUAGGGUAUUUAUAGGUGGUGGUCCACGUUCAGGUCUUGGGCUCCAUACCGGUCACAUUCUGACUGGUAUGAGUGUUCUCUUUGGGUGUCUUGGUGAUGUGGUCGUGUGUUGAGGGUUGUCAAGUUUUACCCUAAAUGAAAUCAAUAGCCGCAAGUGCACAGCUGAUCGAUUGUAGUACUUAGGGAUCGAAUCCACAGGGAAGGAUGAUCUUUCCUGCAAAAGCCUACGAAAGAAAUAUGAAGUAAGGAAGUCUAUAACCAAACGGUUUUGUGGGGGUUUUGGUGGUGUGUUUAAAACGUAAAAAUGAAAUUUAAAAAGAAACAACAGGAAUUAAAAUGACCUAAUAACUAAACUUAAUGAAAACGGGUAAAAACGGGAAAAACGGCAAACCUAAUUGCUUAAAUGAAAAUCGAUUGAAAGGGAAUGAAAAUAGUAAACUAAAGCUUGAAAUAAAAUGGUGUGGAUCUAUAAGAAAAGAGGCGCUGGGGUUCAGGGAAGUUUUCUCAGGUGUACGAACGAUUCAAAACAUUGCUAGAGAGUAAAUUUGAUAAGAUCUUAGCUUAAACUUUUCGAACUGGAGUCACGGACGUAUGAAUACGCCACUGUCGUGAUCAUAGACAACUAUCUCUCUCAACCCUGACCAGUAGGUUUCCACUCUGGUCCUGGAAAAGAAGAGAUGCAUUAUGUUUAAGACUCGUCAGCAUUCACAAAUCUCUCAUAGGUAGGUUUCCACUCCUAUGUUUGUUUUGCUCUCCCAAACUAGAUCUGACACCGGAUGAACACUUUCGUGUCACCAAUCAUCUGGAUCAGAUUGUAGUUCAUGACGCAACUCUCAUGCAGUAAAAACGAAUUCAGAAGAAAAAGUUCUAAGAUUCGGCUCAAAAGCUCAUGGAAUCCUCACCGAACAUAUAAAUCCCCAUCGAAAAUCCCUUAGUCCCAACAAUAAAACUACUCAGACAUGAUGAACGAAAUCAAAAACAUACAGUAAAACCUCUAUAAAUUAAUAAUGUCGGGACCAUAAUAUUUUAUUAGUGUAUCGUGAUAUUAAUUUAUCUAUAAAUUAAUAAUUAUUAAUUUAUUGUAUAAAUUAGAUAAUGUUUGUGUACUUAAUUAAUGUACAUUUUUAAUUCCUUAAUUUUUUAUACUAAUAUUCCAUAUUUUUAUGUUAAUAUAUGAAGCAGUUUUCUUCAAUUUAUGUUAGUAUUCCAUUUUUUUAUUUCUUAAAUUUUUCCUUGACAUUCAUGAACUUGAGGUUUUGAUUAAUUAUCUCGGUUAUCGGAACAAAAUGGAUGUUAAUACCAUACUCGACUAUCCUGCUGAAAACGAUACAUGCUCAGAAGUUCAGAGUUUAGAAGAGAUUGUGGCUACUGUCCUUAAUGUUGAUGAUGAAGUUGAAGAUGAUGUUAUGGAAUCUUGGUCAAGAAAUUAAUGUGACUUGUGAAGUACAGCAAUUAUUAGGAAACAAUCGAGUUAGAGCUGUAGCUAUGAGUGCGACAGAGGGUUUAAAGAGAGGAAUGGACGUGGUUGAUAUGGGAAAUCCUCUAAGUGUUCCAGUCGGCGGAGCGACUCUAGGACGAAUUUUCAACGUGCUUGGGGAACCUGUUGAUAAUUUAGGGCCUGUCGAUACUCGCACAACAUCUCCUAUCCAUAAAUCCGCGCCUGCUUUUAUCCAAUUAGAUACAAAAUUAUCUAUUUAGAGCAGCCGGACGGACUAUUCUAGUGAGUCUAGUGACUACUAGAGUAGAGUUGAGUCAAAAGGUAUGGUAUAGCAGCCUUUCCGAGCGAGCCUCUGGGAUCUCCUGUAAACCCCCAUGAUGUGGUAAAGGGAGGAUAUUAGGGGAAGCAGUGAGUGGAGAUUCCCCUGCGGAGAGCCGGAUGAGGGGAGACCUUCACGUCCGGUC